Molecule: ribosomal RNA, 497 nt
Filed under: uncultured bacterium
Lineage: Bacteria
Description: partial 16S ribosomal RNA
Rfam family: Bacterial small subunit ribosomal RNA
Source: RNAcentral
GACGAACGCUGGCGGCGUGCCUAAUACAUGCAAGUUGAGCGCUGAAGGUUGGUACUUGUACCAACUGGAUGAGCAGCGAACGGGUGAGUAACGCGUGGGGAAUCUGCCUUUGAGCGGGGGACAACAUUUGGAAACGAGUGCUAAUACCGCAUAAAAACUUUAAACACAAGUUUUAAGUUUGAAAGAUGCAAUUGCAUCACUCAAAGAUGAUCCCGCGUUGUAUUAGCUAGUUGGUGAGGUAAAGGCUCAUCAAGGCGAUGAUACAUAGCCGACCUGAGAGGGUGAUCAGCCGCAUUGGGACUGAGACACGGCCCAAACGGCUACGGGAGGCAGCAGUAGGGAAUCUUCGGCAAUGGACGAAAGUCUGACCGAGCAACGCCGCGUGAGUGAAGAAGGUCUUCGGAUCGUAAAACUCUGUUGGUAGAGAAGAACGUUGGUGAGAGUGGAAAGCUCAUCAAGUGACGGUAACUACCCAGAAAGGGACGGCUAACUACGUG